Molecule: long non-coding RNA, 2896 nt
Filed under: Oryzias sinensis (Chinese medaka)
Lineage: Eukaryota; Metazoa; Chordata; Actinopteri; Beloniformes; Adrianichthyidae
Description: lncRNA (ENSOSIG00000019874.1)
Source: RNAcentral
GUAAGGGUUUUAUGGUGAAUAAAGAGAACCCUGUGGCUGAGGAACCAUGCCGCUGUAGGCCCAACUUACAGUGUUACCACAUCAAUUGUGAAUUCUGCGAAAAACUACCCACCUGUAACCCUGGUUCUGGCCUCGAAGAUGACCCCGGUGAGGUUUUCCAACAAGAAUCAAAGUUUAAUGGAAUUACCACAAAGAGAUGUCUUUCAGAAAUAAUAACUGAGAAUCUGUUUGCUUCCCUUCAGGCUCGACUAAUGGAAGAAAGAUCUGCACUCCAUGCAAUAGCGGCUUUUUCUCCGCUCAUCGUAAUUCUGAGCAAUGCAAAGAGUGGACCAAGUAAGUGCACACACAAACAUGCGCAGGGACAUUUUUAGUUGAAACUGUUUCAACAUGUUGUGGAGGGAAAAUGCAUCAGCCCGAAUGAGUAAGUUGUUCACCACUUCCCCUGGAAUCCUGGCUGGACCACUGCCGGCCGCAUCUGUAAUGGAGAUGACGAUGGACAGAGAAGGAGGGACGUAGAAAGGGAACUUUUUCCUUCCCUCUUAGCUCUUUUCUUUACAUGAAAUGAACAAAAACGGGUGUAGGGUUUUGUAAUGAUUCCUAGCCUAAGUUCCAAUCCUCUUGUUUUCCAGUUGUAAGGCAGAGGGAAGAAGUGAGACGCAGCCGGGCAGCAGCCGGGCGGAUGCAGUGUGUGGACCUCCUGACCCCGGUACAACCCCCCCUUGGGUUUUAGUUUCUGUGCUGUCAGUCCUAAUUGUUCUGUGUCUCCUCCUUCUGCGGCUCUUCUGCUACAAGGACAAACUGAAGUUGCUCUCCAUUAAUCUGCGAUCUUGCGUCCAGAAUCUGAAGAGGACCAGAAUUCAACAGGUGCUGUAAUGUUUCAGUUAAACAUUAUUGAUGAUGUAGAAAAAUGAUUUUUCAUAUCUAGAACGUUUCUGAAAUGAACAAAAAAGCAAUAAAAUACACAAAAUUACAUCAGUCCUCACCACUAACUAUUCAGUGGUUAACGGCAUUGUUUCUGUGCCUGCAGGAGACUUUGGCCCCUCUUUACCACAGUGCACCAGCAGGUGGAGGAAUUGAAGCAGCUCCUGGAGAUCCCAGAUGUUUCCCGUGUCAAGAGACUAAACUCGUCUGUCAAGACCCCCACAGUCCUGAGAAUGAGCCCCUCCGCCCAUCCGCCUCCAUCGGUGCCAGCGCCUGCCUGCUGUUACCAGAGCAACCAACAGAAAAAGGAGGGAUGGAGGAAAAGACGGCUGCAGAGACUCAGAGCGAGGGAUCUGGAGAACCAGAAGAGGUGUCAGAAGAAGACUUUUCAAGUGUCUCUCCACUUUUGGCAGGUUCCUGUGUGUGUGUCAUUCCAGUCUGUGAGCCACUGGAAGUAGGGGAGAAUGAGGACUGUAGCCAGGCUGUGAGUCCUGGGAUGACAGGAACCUGCUUGUGUGGGGCUCUGGAAGAUGGAAACGAGGACAGAAGCAAAAGGCUGCGAGAAAGGGCCAAUGGAAGUCAAGAAAAGAUGGCUUUGACCACAAGUGAGACGUGUGAGGUUCCUCUGACCUCCUGUGGGGUUCCACCAUCCAGUCCUCCUGAACGCUGUCUGCCAGCCUCCCAGGCUCAGGUGAUGGAGCAGCCCAGAUCUGACCUGACGGACGGAUCACCGGUAAAAACAGUGGAAUUAUACACACAGACAAGUUUACACUCCACCUUUAAAGGAAAUAGCACAACCUCCACUGUGACUUUAGCCAGCCCCUCAUUAACUUCUGCAUCGGUUGGAGAUCUUUACCUGGAAAAGCCGCCUGAGUCCUCAAGCGCAGAUCAAAGCCUGGGACCUUCCUGGAGGAAUAGCAGGGAGAAAAGGUUUCCUCUGGGAGACUCGGAACUGGAAUGUUCACCAGAGAGUCUCCACAGUCAGCUGGCUGAACCAACUCCUACCUCAGGUCUUGUGUCUGGAAACAACAAUACUACCUUCAUCUCCAGCGGUCAGGUGAUGAAUUUCAGCGGUGAUGUCAUUGUCGUGUGUGUCAGCCAAACAUCUCAUGACGGUGACGAGGAGAGGCAGGGUGACGCUAUUGGGAGCCCUGUGCAGGAGGAGUCUAGCCAAACGGCGCAGUUUUUCCAGAGCAGGUGUCGAUCACAAGGGAACUACACUACCCAUAACACCUUGCAAGAACUGACAAUGCCAAUGAUGCAGGGAAAGUAAAACAAAAUAGUGGAGGACACCAACCAUCUCUGCAGCUGUUGGACAAACUUGCACUACUGAACAUUUUGAUGGUAACAUCAGUGCUGCAGCUCCCAGUGAGAUUGGAGUGAUUCAUAUAUGAAAUUUCACAAAGAUUCUUCAGUGGAAUUUCUUCUGGAAGUUGUUUUUCUAAAUACAUUGAAUGGAUCUUGCCUGACAUUUAUUUCCAGCUGAAAGCUACAGUGGAAACUCCCUUUUGAGACCAUUUUGGGGAAUUUUGAAUUGUUAUAGAAUUUGGGUUCAGACUGGAAGAGCAAAACAUUUGUUGCUCAGACUCAGUUGUAAAAUGUGUAUUUCAUUUUUUACUUUUGACUAAAAAAGUCCACCUUUUGGAUUUAUUCACUUUAAUGUUAUGUCUGGAUAAAUUUAAGACUUUUUUCCUACGGUUUUUCAGUGUUUAAAGAAAUCAACUUACUUUUUCCAGUAAAAUAUUGUUGAAUUGAUUUAAAAGUUGUUUAAAAUUCAAAUGGAUUUUUUAACAUUUUACUGAAUCUUUGCUUAUUUUAUAUGCGCAUGAUUUAACUGAGGCAAACAAAGUACAUCAAGUUUUGAUGUGAGGCUUGUUUAGCUAUUACAUAGACUGUACAUAGACUUUUUAUAAGACCACAAAUGCGGUUUUGGUCAAAAAAUAAAAUGCUAUGCAUUUGAUAAGCUACCUUAUUA